Long non-coding RNA from Solanum dulcamara, 1224 nucleotides. RefSeq lists it as uncharacterized. Lineage: Eukaryota; Viridiplantae; Streptophyta; Magnoliopsida; Solanales; Solanaceae. The record is from RefSeq and is a predicted model, not a curated record. The transcript has 2 exons.
GAAUUUAAUUAUUAUUUCAAAUUAGUACCCAUCUUUUAUGAACUACAAAUUGGUCCAAAAUCAACAAUAAAAAGGGACUCUUGGUUAAAAGGCCCAUUUAAGUCUUCUAUCUAAUUAAAAGAGUUUCACGUAUUUUUUCUUAGUGAAAUGACCCACUUUUUAGAUUAGAUAAAAAACUCUAAUUUAGUUGUGAUUUCGAAUUUAAUUAUUAUGCCAGAUUAGUACCCAUCUUUUAUGAAUUACAAAUUGGUCCAAAAUCAACAAUAAAAAACAAAAAUAAGAAAAAAACUCCAAAAUCUCUUUCAACGUCUUUUUUUCUUCUUUCUUCUAUUGUUCUUCUUCCACUCUCAAUCUACCCUCUGUGCAUAUGAUUGUGUGUUAUUGAGAUCCUAAAACUCCUCUUUUUUCGGUGAAGUUGGUUUCAUCAAGCUAUAUUUGGAGAAAGAUGGUGUUAAAAUUUUAAAAAAAAUAGUCAAGCUCAAUUUAAAUUCGAUUAAAGAUUGUUUUGGAGUAGCAUUAGCCUGGACUUCUGUUAAAACAUUGUAUCAAGACCUCAGUUUGAAGGUACACAAAUAAAUUUUAUAUAUUUGUAGAGUUAUUAUGCAAAUGAAAGCUGGUCUGCAAUGGACAGAUUGACCAUCAAUCUGACCGAUUAUAUAUCAGUCCUCUAUGUUAUUCAACAGCUGACCGAUCAUAGUAAUUAGUCCGACAGAUUCAUUAUAGAUUUUUUUAUUUUUUAUUUCCAUGUUUGCAAUAAUGUUUUAUUUUACUAGUUUCUAAUAACGUUACAUUAUUUAUAAUAGGUAGGUACAAAAUCAUGACAGGAGUUGUCUUACUUGUUGAUUAUUUUGGAAAGUGGGUAGAUGACAAGAAAUUGUAGAGAUAGAAUUCUCAAAAUGAUACAGUUAGAACAAUGCUUGUGAGCAGUGAUGUUACCUUUGAUAAAUUCAUGGAAACUAUCAUUAGAAGAGGUGAAUUGAGUUGAAGACAUGAUCCUGUUUGUGUCAAGUAUAUGACUCAUGCAGGUGCUUUUUCGAAGGACAAAUAUCUGAUAUCAACAUGUUAAAAAGCGAAACAAAUGUUCUCUCUGCAAGCAAGUUGUCCACAAGAAGACUACUUGUCCCGAUAAACAUCAAGUGGGACGGAGUAAGGGCCCUUCUCACCUCCUACGAGUGUGUAUCUGUCGGAUAAAUCAACAAUUUGUUAGUGAACAUAUUCAAACGA